CUCAUUUAUAUGCUGAGAGGAGAGUCAACAUGCUUAAGAGUUUGAUGACAGCUGUUUACGUUUAAAAUUGUUAUUGAUGUUUUAUGCAGCUCAGCAUCUCUCACAGGCGAAUCAGACGAGCAAAAUGUCAGUUAUGGAGAGGAGAAGAGCCGCUUACCAAUUGAAUAAAGAAAUAAAAUAUCGCUUAGGAAGAGAUGUCAGCUUCAGACAUGGACAUUUACACCAUAACGUACAAUAGAAGCAAAUUUGAGUAAAGCGGAUGUAUAACCAUAUCUCGCACCAACUACUCUUUUAGAGUUCACGAGGGUUUUCGAGAGCGCGGGUUAUAUGUAUUGAAACGAAAUUUUUAUAGUCGUAUGUAUACAAUAUAUAUACAAUAUAAAUAUUAUUGCGAUAGAAAAAUCAACAUAUUCAUAACAUUGUGCUGCUUGCUUAAAAAAUGCUGAAAGAUGACACAACAAAAAAGGCAAAAAAGAUCUGUGCAAUUAACCCCAUUGGAAUCUUCCUUCAUGCAGUUUACAUUGAUUUCACGAAACAGUUGCGUUUAUGACACACAUUUUCAUGGAGAAGAAGACACAUUUUGAUCGCAUACGGAUGUUUUUACAUGAUAUAGAUAUAGGUACUUAGAUGACUUAUACGUCAGCACCUUAUCAGUUCGCAUGAAGUAAACAACUUAAAUGCAAAAGCAAUUGUGUUUUUAUUAUUAAAAUAUGGUAUAAGUAAAUAAUAAGUUUAUAAAA
Bactrocera oleae (olive fruit fly) is the source of this 740-nucleotide non-coding RNA. The record is from RefSeq and is a predicted model, not a curated record. NCBI's taxonomy places the organism in Eukaryota, Metazoa, Arthropoda, Insecta, Diptera, Tephritidae.